Molecule: ribosomal RNA, 445 nt
Filed under: uncultured Azospirillum sp.
Lineage: Bacteria; Pseudomonadati; Pseudomonadota; Alphaproteobacteria; Rhodospirillales; Azospirillaceae
Description: bacterial SSU rRNA
Rfam family: Bacterial small subunit ribosomal RNA
Source: RNAcentral
GCCCUACGGGAGGCAGCAGUGGGGAAUAUUGGACAAUGGGCGCAAGCCUGAUCCAGCAAUGCCGCGUGAGUGAUGAAGGCCUUAGGGUUGUAAAGCUCUUUCGCACGCGACGAUGAUGACGGUAGCGUGAGAAGAAGCCCCGGCUAACUUCGUGCCAGCAGCCGCGGUAAUACGAAGGGGGCUAGCGUUGUUCGGAAUUACUGGGCGUAAAGGGCGCGUAGGCGGCCUUGUCAGUCAGAAGUGAAAGCCCGGGGCUCAACCUGGGAACUGCUUUUGAUACUGCAAGGCUAGAGUUUCGGAGAGGAUGGUGGAAUUCCCAGUGUAGAGGUGAAAUUCGUAGAUAUUGGGAAGAACACCGGUGGCGAAGGCGGCCAUCUGGACGAACACUGACGCUGAGGCGCGAAAGCGUGGGGAGCAAACAGGAUUAGAUACCCGAGUAGUCAUU